Molecule: ribosomal RNA, 482 nt
Filed under: uncultured bacterium
Lineage: Bacteria
Description: SSU rRNA
Rfam family: Bacterial small subunit ribosomal RNA
Source: RNAcentral
AGGACGAACGCUGGCGGCGUGCUUAACACAUGCAAGUCGAGCGGUGAUCCUCCUUCGGGAGGUGAGCAGCGGCGAACGGGUGAGUAACACGUGGGCAACCUGCCCCUCACACUGGGAUAACCUCGGGAAACCGGGGCUAAUACCGGAUAUGACCUCGAGCGGCAUCUCUUGAGGUGGAAAGCUCCGACGGUGAGGGAUGGGCCCGCGGCCUAUCAGCUUGUUGGUGGGGUAAUGGCCUACCAAGGCGACGACGGGUAGCCGGCCUGAGAGGGCGACCGGCCACACUGGGACUGAGACACGGCCCAGACUCCUACGGGAGGCAGCAGUGGGGAAUAUUGCGCAAUGGGCGAAAGCCUGACGCAGCGACGCCGCGUGAGGGAUGAAGGCCUUCGGGUUGUAAACCUCUUUCAGCAGGGACGAAGCGAAAGUGACGGUACCUGCAGAAGAAGCACCGGCUAACUACGCGCCAGCAGCCGCGGUAA